GUGGCUUUAAUCGACAAGUUCCAGUAACAAGACUAUCAUAACAGAAAACUGAAGGCUUGAAGAGAGCUGUAUCUCCAAAUGUAAAUGUCAUCUGCAAAGCUCAAACAUAUGUGGGAAUAAGACAUCACUACUAGACAAUAUGAACCACAUUCCCCGAAGACUGUUGAAAGAACUGUAGCAAUGAUGUAAAGAGCCAAUACGUUUUAGUGCUGGGUGCCAGUAAUGUCUUGGCUAGUGAAGUUGGAUGAAGCACAGUUGAAGCAGGACCACAGACCGGAAAAGUUGUUAAAGAAACUACACAAAAUUAUGUGAAGCUGAAUCCUAAGGACUGUCAAAUAAGCAUGAGCUGUAUAUAGUGCAUGGGACAUGUGUUACAGAGCACAGAUCACAGCCUGAUGCCGAGAAAGUGAAGGCCGUGGUGUGAAUGGAAUGGUCUGAGGAUAAAAAUGAUUUGCAAAUGACUCUGGGAAUUGUUCAGUAUCUCAGCAAAAUUCUAACAAGUGCUUGAAAAAAUGUUGUGUGGCUGUUGUAAUUAAGACACAAUGCAACUCUGGAAUUUUGAAGAAGAUGAUCACAGAAUCUCCUAUUUUGAAAUAUUACAAUGUCAGCAGUUAUUCAGGUUCAUCCAUUGAGAAGGCCUUAUUCUCCAGAUACAUGUUAUGUGAAGAAUGCUCUUUCAGGAUGGUGUCAUACCCAACACCCCUGCUGGAACAGACGUCAUCGUAAGUUUCAUAAUCCACC
Protopterus annectens (West African lungfish) is the source of this 741-nucleotide long non-coding RNA. RefSeq lists it as uncharacterized. NCBI's taxonomy places the organism in Eukaryota, Metazoa, Chordata, Ceratodontiformes, Protopteridae. The record is from RefSeq and is a predicted model, not a curated record. The transcript is spliced from 3 exons.